CUUGAGAGAGACCGAUAGCAUGUUAUGUAUUUUAUUCCUUUUUUUUCUAAGUAAACUUAGGAGUUGUCUGGUUUAAUGUAAAAUUGUGAAAAAAUAAUUUUGGUGGAAAAAUAUUUUCGGAGAAAAAUAAAUAUUACGCUCUCUAGUGUUUGGUUAGUAGGAAAAAAAAAGUAGUUUUUUAUUACGAUUGUUUGCUUGAAAGGAAAAAAAAAAGAAAGAAGAAAAAGUUAUAAAUUAAAAAUUAUUACAUAUUUUCUCUUCUUAUGUAUUAUAUAUUACUAAUAUAAUUUAUAAUAUUACAUAUAUUAGUAUUAUAAUUUAUAUUUAUAAAUAAAAUAUAUUU
RNAcentral lists this long non-coding RNA (343 nucleotides) under Ananas comosus (pineapple). Its description in RNAcentral is "long non-coding RNA (ACOM_LNC025354)". Lineage: Eukaryota; Viridiplantae; Streptophyta; Magnoliopsida; Poales; Bromeliaceae. The record is from RNAcentral.